This 241-nucleotide unclassified non-coding RNA is filed under the name Hevea brasiliensis (rubber tree). The record is from RNAcentral. Lineage: Eukaryota; Viridiplantae; Streptophyta; Magnoliopsida; Malpighiales; Euphorbiaceae.
CCGAACUGUCAAUAAGGACAUUACUUGAUUUUAUAUUGUAGUGGAUGAUGUUUGAUUGGUGCAAAUGAGCCAGGCUUUUCGCUGUCCCAAGAAUUAUAUUGAACCUCUCGUUCCAUGAAAGAAAAUUUCCAACUGAUCCCUCAUGGAGAUGCUUGUACAAACUCCCUCCAGAGACAAAUUCAUAUAUCAAAAGCUGUAAGGAUGGUGUCCAGUAAUAACCUUCAAGUGCCACAAGAUUUUG